CAUCUUUCAAAUCUAUUUACAAUGUCUGAAACAACUUACUUCAUAAAGGGUGAGGCCUGCUUGUUCAGCAGAACUUGCCUGCUCACCAUUUUCUUUUAGUCACAGCUAAGAACAGCAGCACACAGCAGCCUGGGUGGGUGGCAGCUCCCUCCUCUGCUGAACAGUGCUCGUGCUGUUUCUACUGCCUCCCUGGUGCGUGCAUGUGUGCGUGCGUGUCUCUCUGUCUGUCUGUCUCCGUGCACACAGACAUGCUGUUGCUACUGGCUCCACAAAUCUGGAGUCUUCAAGAAGGGAUUUCAAAAGCUCCCACUUUUAACAUUCCUACAGAGCUUUGCAGACAAACUGAAUGAUGGCAAAGAAGCCCCUAAAUUAUGCCUGGGAAAGGCUUAGUUUGGCUAUUUGAAGAGCAUCUGCUUGGGAGGAGGCCACAGCCAUAUGUGAAUUCUUUAGCUGUUUAUAGCCCACACUGCCCCCUCAGCAGAGGAUUUGCUACUCAGCCUUCAGCACAUACCAAAAGGCAAGCUGUGCCACAUACCAGGGAGGCAGCAACUCUAUCAGCUGCUCUCACAACCCAGACCAGAUAUUUUAAAGGCCUGUCAUGGCAACGCUUCUUGAAUUAGAACUCAUCCUGACCUUCUUGUCAGGAGCAGUAAGGGGAAAGGGAAGCCACUAGAAGCAGUCUUGAAUCCCAAUUACAAAAGCUGUAUUGCAUUUUGUAGCUAGUGCAGCAGGCAGGGCAGCUCCAAAGCAGUUGCUGUGAAUGGGGCAGAAGAGCCUCAAGAAAGGUGGUGCGGUCCACACUCACACAGACAUAGCUCUUCCCCAUGACUGAAGCUCUGAGGCACAGCUGUCCUCUUCAGGCACUAAAACAGGCCCUUGUGGGAACCAUAGGGACCAGAGACACACACAUAUAAAACUCCAAGUACACAGACAUAUUUUGACAAUUGCAUUUUUCAUCUUUUGAGUUCUCUUGAAACGGAAAAGUCCGUUAGCUCUAAAAAGCUCAAGAAGGCUGGAGGGUCAGCAGUAAAAGGCACUGGCUACUCUUGCAGAAGACCGGGUUUGAUUUCCAGCAUAAAUACACAGUGCACAGACAUUCAUCUAGGCAUAGCCACAUAAAUAAGAAUAAACUCUUAAAAAAAUUUAAAACAUUAGUAUGAGUUGGUGACAAGUGUAAUCCUUUUUUGUUAAAAACAAAGGCCAUAUAUAUAUGCUGCUUCUCUUGACCCUCAGGAGGCCUCCCUAUGGGGGGAUACAUGCUACUGAUGUCUUUCUAGCCUUCCAAACCAGCUUUAUGCAUGCCAGCAAACAUCCCUCUCAUUCCAUUUAAGAUUCCUGUGUAUAGUGCUCACCUACAGUGGUGCCUGCCUGUGACCUCAGCUGGGAGGAGGACUCUAAGUCUGAGCCUUGUAUCAAAGCAAACCAAAAAGACCCAACAAGAGCACGCUGUACCCACCACCUACCCCUUGUUCUCUCUCUUAGUGUACACUGCAGGCAGCCACAUCUGACCUCCCACCUACUUACUUAAUAAUUAAAAUUCUAAUAAUUAUAAACACAACCUAUCUACUUGUUUAGUUGCAAUCCACAGUUACUUUCAUGAUGAACACUUAAGUGAGCAGUCUGACAUACUGUAUGGUCCGUAAAACCUAAAAUAUUUACUCCUGCUUCUUGUAGGAAGUCUGCUGCCUCCCACCUACCAUAUGCCAUAGCAUUAAUGCACCUAACUGUUCGCUGUUCAUAACUAUACCAAGAGGAAAUGGCCUGGUCCCUGUUCCCUCCAUCCCUCUGUCUUGACAAAGUCAUUAUGCAGCCAGGCUGGCCUCUAACUCUUCAGUGCUGGGACUUCAGGUAUGUAUCAUUAACUCUGGUCUUGAAAAUGGAUGUCCUUAAAAAUAAAAUUAGACUUGGGGACAAUUAAGGAUGAGGAAGAAGCCAAGCUUCAAGAGGGAACUUUAGAGAGAGCAACCACCUCUUCAAAAUGUUACUUCUUCUUUGUAGAGGAAGUAAGAAGGGAACUGUGGGGUUUUGAUAAGAGGAAAUUCCCCUCUGCUCUGUGGGAGCUAUUCCUUGUGUUUGUGUUUUUCUAAGGUUAGGCAAACUGCUUGGAGAAUACCGUAACCAAAUUAGGAAACAAGCUGGCUGACAUGUCCUAAGUGGCGGCUACAUGUCAGGAUGCAGGCAGACAGCGAUGGAUGUGGAGGGGUCAGUACCAGAAGGAAAUGCUUGAGAAAUCAAUCUUAAAUUAGACUCAAUCAGAAUUAGUAAUUUUACUGGCUGUGGCUGACUGGAAAUAAGGGGUGUGUGUACCUCCUAAAAUGCUAGGUGUGGUGGUAGAUCUCACUGUUCAAGUGGAGGAGGAGCGCAGAGCACACAAGCUUGAGGCCAGUCUGGGGUACACAGCGAGAUAGGGAGGGAAUGGACAGAAGACAGUGCUUCUAAGUUUCCAGAAGAAAGCCUCGUGGACCAAUGUGCAUUCCCAGGGCAGCGCAGGUCUUGAGAUAAGCCAGGGCUAUCACACUAAUCAGCAAUUUAAUAGAUCAAAAGGGUCAAAAGCCAAAGAUAUACCUAGUGGCAGAACUGUUGCUUGGCAUAGGCAAAGCCUCAGGUUUGAGCUAGUGAGAAAAAAAAAGAAUUGAGUCCUACAGAGAAACAAAUAACAAAGCUCUGUGAACUUUCCAUUUUCAGGCUGCCUAUCCAUCCAUCUGCUCCACUUGCCUCAAGAGUGAGGCUCCAAGCUAGUCUCACGGCUUUGAAAACAGGGUCUAGGUUUGUGAUACUUUACUCCAGCCACUUCGAUGACUCUCUCUUUCAGGAAUGACUUGUGAUUCAUUUCUGAAUGGGAGCCAGUUGAAUACAGACUCAACCAGCACUAUCUGGGUAGUAACAUUCAACUUUGGAAAGCCUUGCUUUCCGCCCAAAUUUCUGGAUCAGCAAGAUUCUUGGCUGACCUUUAUUCACUUAAGAAUGUGCUUCACUCAGUUCCAGCUUCCGCUAUGAAACUAGUCAGAAUGGAGAUUUAAAAGACAAAGUCAACUGCAGUCCUUACUAAGAACCCCCUGUUUUGGCUGAAGCAGCCUUCCCCUCUCUCUCCUCUCUCUCUCCCCCUCUCUCCCCCACCUUCUUUUAUUCUUUGAUACUUAGCUUACCCCAGUCUCUGGCUAGGGAGCACAGAGCUGAAACUUCACAACUAUUUCAAAAGUACUCUAUUAAAAAAUGAUUCUACUGACUUUAGUGUUUAUGAGUGUAUGGUGAGUGUGGAGGCCGAGGUAGAGGACUCCCUGGACCUACAGUUCUAGGUGUUUGUCAGAUGCCUGACUUGGUUCUCUACAGGAGCAGCACAUGCUUUUUAGGGCCUAAGCCAACAUUCCAUCCACAUUCAAAGUAUUAUAAUGGUUCAAAAUAGCUAAGUGUUUGCUUUCUCUUUUGAUUUUUCUUUUCUUUUUGAGUCAGGGUUUCAUGUAGGCAAGGUUCCUAAAACUACUUGAUGGUCUUUGCCUUGACUUAAAAUGCUAAGAUGGCAGAUGUGCCCUAUCGAAUCUUGCAUGAGCAUGUACUUUUUAAAAAGUACUUGUGUGUGGGGUUGGGGAUUUAGCUCAGUGGUAGAGCGCUUGCCUACAGUUGCAAGGCCCUGGGUUCGGUACCCAGCUCCAAAAAAAAAAAAAAAAAAAAAAGAAAUAAAAAGUACUUGUGUGCUGCUUCUAACACUUAUUUAUUAUCACUGACAAGAUCCCAGGGUUUUAAUGGAUAACACUUUACACAGAUUUUACGCUUCCCAAAGGCUUGAAGUGAUUAACAGAAACCCACCAAUUAAGACCUUCAUUUAUACUAGCCGAGAGCACUGAGGGUAUCUGGCGUAUAGGAUCUCCCGGGUCUCUUUAAAAAACUGGGUAUCCACAAUUAUAAGCCAUGAGAACCAAAUGUUAGCAAUACAGACUUGGGCAGAGUUCAAGUGUUACUGCAGGCAGCAAGCGAAUGAAUAAGCAGAUGAGCCCUCAACUGCCUCUACUGUCAUGCUGGAGCCUGAAUUGAGCAAGACCAGGACGAACCAAAGCAGCACCCCCUGUCUGUCUCUGCUUCUCCCCAUAGAGCAGCAGGCAUGGUUGCUACAGAAAAACCUCAUUGCCCUUUUAUGGUAGAAAAAUGAAUUACUUCCCAGCAUUGAGGCCCAGAGAUGACAGAAGGGAAAGUUGUCAUUUGUUGUGGUUUUGGCAGCCACAGAAUAGUGUUCUUCCUUCAGUUGCCCUUGGCGAGAUGGCACAGACCAGGCUACUGCUAAGGAAGAAAAUAGGCCUGGCCAACUGCUGGAGGCACCCUCCCUUACAUUGCCUGUGAAUGGACAUGCCAUUUAUGAGGAGUGGUGAGCCUUGGUUUUGUGGAAACAUUCUUUUUAUAAAACAAGGCAUGAAAAAGUCUUGCUUUAUGUGAAAGGUCUGCACAGAGAUGCCCAGAGGUUUGAGUUCCAAUCACUGGAUCCAGGUACCUUGGGCACAAGCUAUGGAGACUGGGGUCUGGCAGGGAGGUAACCUUCACAUGGCAAAGGGUCAAGAAAGCAGCCAUCCACUGCAGAAAAGUCCACCCCAUGAAAGCACAGUAAUGUCCAAGGCCCUUCUGCUGAUAAAGCAGUGGUUUGCAACACAGAGCCUUAAACUGUUUGCAUUUCUGUCAAGAGGCCUGCAGAAAAAAAGCAGACUUCCCAGCUGCAGACACACAUUGCAAAAGAAGAAUUAGGCAAUUCUCUGUAGGCACAUUAAGAGUUAGGGAAAUUAAGCUUAUCUGAGCGAGAGAAAUUAAGCUUAUACAACAUGCUUUCAGCUGGAAAACAAGCCUUUAAGAUGGGGGGUGGGAGCACACAACUGUGAUGCUCACACAGUUUCUUCUACAUAAAGUUCCCAAGGACGGGGGUGUGGGGGGAAGCUGGCCUGUCAAACUGUAGGGACACACCAACUGUCCAGGAAUCUGCUUCAGGGACAACCACAGGAAACUACACAGGAAGGAGGAAUAAUAUUCCUGAGUGCCAAUGUGGAGUUUGCAUCUCAGAUGGACCUAGACUGGCCUGUAUGGCCCAAAGCCACUCUCCCUGGCACCUCCAGUUUAACUAAAAUCUAAAAGAUUGAAGCUUCUUUGGCUACUUCUUUGGCCUUCUGGGAACUGGGAAAUUCCAUGCAAAUAUUCAGAGCUUUGUUAACAGCUUGUUAACAAAGGUAAGAAGGUUUAUCUAGGACUACAAGACCAUGUGUUCUCAGGCUCUGACAAGGCUCCCUGAAGAUCUCUAUCUGCUACUUCCUUUAGAGUUACAGGUUCCCUCUAAAGCAUCAUGAACCCACUAUGAAGCCUGUAAUAGUUCUUUGGCAUCUACAGAACUGACUUUACCUUCCUUUACCUAUGACUUUACACUGUCAUAGUUCAUGAUCUAGGGUCUUUUUCUGCUAAUUGUAUUUCCUCCCACUGUGGUCAUACCUGUCUAUCGGCUGACUCUGAAUACAGCUCAGGACACAUAAUCCUCUAACCCCACAGUAAAAUUCUAUCUCUACCCAUUUUAUCUUACUGCAGCACACAGUCAGGCCAAGACGUGUGCUUUUUCAGGAAAGCUCACACAAUGGUGCUUUCCUCAGUGUGACAAAGCCUAGUGAUCUUUCCUUCCUGGGAGUCUCACCACUUCCCGUUGCUGUCUAGAGGAGUUAGCCUAUUGCAUUCCUUCCAGCACAGCUGCUGAAUUAUCAAACUAUUCUUAUAACUGUGGUGUUCCAUUGUCUCUGUGCAGAAGACAGCAAAGGGGAACGAGGAGCAGCCCUGCCAGUCUGGGUAAGAAGUGGCAAAGCAAGGUAGCCUUGGAAGAGAGCACAAGCCCUGGCCUUGAGGGUAAAGGGGAGGAAAGAUCCAAGUUUCUGAGAGGACAGUGGAAACCAGAGGUGUUUUUAGUCUGAUAGGAAAGGAGAGGAAGACAAAAAGACAAGCUUCAGUCAAAGACAAGAAAAGAAACUGUAACAUUUUACUGGCUUUGGGCUAGAAUCUGGAUCUGCUUCUCAGGCACAGGGAGCUUUUGAAGCCAAAAAGCUUUUCAUAGGAACCUUUGAUGGGAAAUAAAUCUGGGGGGAAAAAUCACUUUUAUGAGGCUACUGAGAUUUAAUCUGACAGACUUAGUCUGUUUUUGAAAAGCAAAUGCCAAUCUCAGCUUUCUAAGAACCAUUGAGUUUGGUCUGGAAGGAUGCUCAAAAAUUGUCUGGUCUCUCUUCUGGCCUUCAGGUAGAACAGCCUGCAUGUAAGUUUCCCUGGAGAUGGAAUAGUCAGUGUCGUCACACCAGAGCCUACAGGAGGAAGGAAGAAGGAGGAGAGGCCACAGCUGCUGCACAGUCUUUCCAAGCAGUCUCUCUGCUGUCUACACUGAAGCUCUGAAUUCCAUGUGUGUGGCUCUGGUAGGUUCCACCCACUCCACCUCUCAGGUGCUGCUCAAAGAAUACCGGUUCUAAUGGAGAAUCCUGACACGUAACCCUUUCUUCUAGGAUGAUGAGCAUUUGCCUUCGAGUAGGCAGUUGCUGCCAUUUUCCUGUUACCAAUUAUCUCGUCUCAGAAGAGUACAGAUUUGAACCCAGGACAAGGCUCUAGUAAGGUAGUUCCAUUCCUUGUGAGGGAUGUAUACGCAUAUUUGCAAAGCAAAGCAGGCAAGGGCAGGGACAUAGUAAAGUGGAGAACAUGUGAGUGUUUGCUUUGACUUAGCUCUUUGUCGAGUGAGGCUUGAACCCAGGUCAUUGCACACGGCUAGGUAGAUGAUCCACCACAGAGUUACACCUCUAGCACUUAGUGAUGACUGGGAAGGAAAACCACAAAACUAGACAAUAUAAAGAAUGCCGGGGCUGGGGAUUUAGCUCAGUGGUAGAGCGCUUACCUAGGAAGCGCAAGGCCCUGGGUUCGAUCCCCAGCUCCGAAAAAAAGAACCAAAAAAAAAAAAAAAAAAGAAUGCCAUGCACCAGCCACUGAUGACCGACUCAUGGCCAGUCCUAGCUUACCUGGCCCCUUCAUCUUCUUCCACCCACUCCUGUACAACCAUGAACAAAUCCCAGACUGCUUGGGUCAUUCAUAAACUGUCAGUGACUAUUUCCAAAAGAUAAAGACUCUGCAAACCACACGAUAAAACCUUCCCAAGCAUAGACAAAGAGCGACUGGAAGCUCUAGGUUUGACUCUCACCGAUAUCACUUGCUGCUGUGUGGCUUGAAUGCGAGCAUCAAGUCGCUCACACACACUAGGGGAGAGCUCCAUCAGAUGUGUAUCUGGACGUUAGCCUGAGGAUAGUGUCAAGCUCCCAAGCCAGGAAGUCAUGACUACACAACACAGACUGAGUUAACAGAGGUGCUGCCCGCUAUGUCUUUCUUUCUUUUUUUCUUUCUUUUUUUUGUACUCUGGGCCCUGACCUCGGCAGAUGAGAUUCUGUUUCUCUCCACUACUACUCUGAGUUACCAAGGUUACCAAGUCAUCACAGGUUCAUUACCAUGCAGUGCAGACACAGAGCACACUGUGCAAUGCAGUUUCAAAGAAACUGGCAUCUUCCCCUGUUGUGGGCAGUGAGGUUUUCCAGGCCAGGAUAGCUGACCCUGCUCAGAACAGGGUAGCAGGCCGGAGAGACUUUGUUUUAACUGUGGCCUAUGAAAAGGUCAUAGGGCAUGUGGGGGUAGUGAGUAGCAGUUGUUCCUACUCUGUUUUUUGUCUCUACUUCAGGGAGGACUAAGGGGUCAGAGGCCAUUUCCAUUUCAUGGCUGCCACACUACAACUGGGAAAGAAACCUGAAUUCAGAGUAACAGAAUUCUCCAGCAAAAUGUGCUGUGAACUUUUCCUCCUAUACCUUUCUGAACACCAGUCCCUGAAAUUCCAAUCCUUCUGGAUACCAGUGGGAAACCAAUGAGUAGUGCAAGAAGAGAAGGCAGAGCAGAGCUGUGGACAAGACAAAGACAACAGUGACAACAGCAGCCCACAGGCAGCCUUUCUCAGGAUAAAGCUGUCCCUGGGCAGUGCGGGACAGAUCCUUCUUGGAGCUGGGGUAAUUUGGGUUGGUGGGGGUUGGUUGGUAGGAAUCUUUAUCUACCCUUCCUUUCUUUUUCUUUUUACGGUGUUGAAGAUUGAACCUGCAGGCUUAUCUGUACUGGAAAAGCAUUUUACUACUAAGCUAUACUAUGCCUAGUCCGGGAGUUGUACGUCUUCCUUACUAAUUCUGGUGAUGCUGGCCUGUAAUCCUAGCAUCAGGAGGCUGAGGUAGCCACGAGUUUAAGUGACUUGCCAUAUCCUCACAAGUACCCAGUACUGAGCUCACGGGACUUUCAUCAAUGAAUACUAGCUUAUGUAUCGUCAACAGCCUUCAAGACAACUCUCAAAACAGAUAGCUUACCAAGAAAGCAUACCAAAAGGAUUUGUGCUGUGCAGUGCUGACAGAGGAGAAAGACAUGCUUUGUUGACUGACUGGAACAGAGGGUUCUGUGAUCUGUCUCCUGGCAAGUGGUAACACUUUAACCAUCAUCACAGGCUACUUCACGGGUUUGAAAAAUUAAGUACCAUAGAGAUGCCAGUUCCUGGACAAGUGGGCAAACACCCAAUGCCCAGGAGAACUGCUGCUAGAUCCCAGGAGCCCCCAGAUUUCUUGUUGAUUGCUGACCUUGUGUGGACUGCUCUAGACAGGAAAAGGCAGGUGAAAUAUAAAAACAAGAACUUUCUUUAGGGAUAAGGGGGGUGGGGAGAGGAGAAAAGGUUUUAAUUUAUAUUUUCUUCUCCUGUAUGGGGUAGUUAUCUUUCUCCCUUUAGACAGUCGUUACAAAUAACAGCAAACGUGGGAUUUAUUUAACUCUCAGUGAGAAGAUACAGACGUGAGGUAAGCAGUAUUUACCCUCUGGGGUGGUUUUCACUCUCGGAAACACACACACCUGUUCUCUGGCUGUUCCAGGACUAAAUAACAUGUAAAGUUAGCAGACAUGCCUCUGUGUAAUGGUCAGAUAUCAUACCAGGGCCAAGAAACACAGGAACAACAGAUGUGUGUGCUGCUCUUACAGAAAAAAUUUUUAAGAUUAAUUUUUACUUUAUGCAUAUAAGAAUCUUGCCUGUAACAUAUGCACGUGCACUGUGUAUAUAUGUGCUUGGUGCCCAUAGAGGCCAGGAGAAGGUACCACAUCACUAGAAUUGGAAUUAAGGACAGUUUAAAGGUGCAUUAGGAACUGAACUCAGGUCCUCUGUCAGAGCAGCAAGUACUCAACUACCUUUCCAACCCCUGCUAUACGGAAUUUAAAAGUGGAAUUUGACAAAAAUAUUUGAGCAAAGUCAGUGCAACUCUGAAACCCUUUGCUACUAUGCUGGCUGUUGCAUGUCUGGUGGAAGAAUGGCUUCCAGUUACGGCCUUGGGAUAUACCCCGAGGCUUUCCUUUGGGUUUCUGGCUCUACCAUUAUAUAUCACUUGGUGUCAAGCUUCAGUGCCACUUAGCACAGUCUCUGUAGUGACCAGCAAGUGAGUGAAGGGCUUUGUUCCAUCCAUAAUGGACACACAGAAAGCACAAACACCACAGCACCAGAGACCUGAAGCUCUUCAGUAGGACCUCUCUGGAAACUGUAGGAAGAGCAGACCACAUUCCCAACUCCUCCCUUUCUGACUCCAUAAUGCAGUGUGGAUUUUAUUCCAGUAAGUGAGCCCUCACCUACAGGCUUAGGAAUCUUUCUGUCACCAAGACUUCUGGUUCUUGUCACUGUAACUUCCUGAUGUAAAGGUCCUCCCUGACAGAAGGAACAUGAAAACCAAGCUUCAUCAACUUUGGAUAAUGUGAAGGGUUGGUUUAGUCCAGGAGUCAGCAGCCUAGCUAGGUUCCCCAUCAGUGUAUGGCCAGUAAGUGCCAAUCGCCUGGCACCACAGCUGGAAUUGUCUUGGCAAUGACAGCUGGAUAAUUUACAUUCUCUCCACACAGCCAUUCAGCUACUGCAGGCAGCUGCAGAUUCUGGUCUGCCUUUUUUUUUUUUAAAACAAACAAACAAAAAAACCCAAAAAACCUGGUUUGCUGCAGUAAAUUCUGGCAAUAUUUCACAGACAUUAGAGUUCUGAGCACUGAAGGCUACAGAGGAUGGCAUGGCACCUGACGACUGUAAAGAAGGGAAGCAGGGAAGAAGGUGUGAGGUGGAGAUUGACAAAUAAGCCAAACUCAAACUCAGAGAUGGGGGAUUACAUAACCGAUUCACAUUCUCAGUGUCCACAGACUGAAUCCAAACAGGUUUCUUCAUGUUCUUUUCAUAUGACUCUUUACCAUGGCUGCCUUUCUUUCCUUAAUACUUGCUUACUGUGGACUGGUGAAAAUUCUAGCCAAUUUUCUAGAAAGCUCUGUGUGUACUGUGGAAUACAAAGCAGACAUGUGGAUCUAAGAGGGUAGGAAAGAGAUUCAAGAUGAAAAUGUCUGGACCUAAGAAAAAAUAUUCCGUAGAAUACUGGAAACUAUGUCAGAACCUGCCAAAAUUUAUGUGCUUCCUCUCCAUAGCAAACACUCACACAUCUACUGACUGCUGAAGCAGCGAGCUGAAUCGAGCUGAUGAAUGCUCUCUGUAAGAAGAGUGAACCAGGGAAAUGACGGCCCAGACCCACAUUCCGCACAUCCAUGAGAGCCCGCCUAUUUUACAGAAGGCACUCGUAAGCCUCAAGUCUUGAGGAUUCGGGCACCAGGUCUCCUAGAUGCAUCGCUAUCAAAGCCUUCUCUCAGAGUGACAGCUUCCUCAGACUCCAACUGGAGUGUAGCUUACUGGCAAACACUGCAAUAACAAGGCAGAUGCCUUUAGUCUUACAUAGGACAAAAUUAGCUCAUGGCUCACUUUUUAUAAUGCAAAAUCCUCAAGGAUUAACUGCCAGUUCAGUCAUCUUGUUGGAGAGAAAGAAAGCCACCUAUAAAAUUGGAGCAAGUACAAAGGAAAAGGCAGAUGUCCUAACAGCACAGCCAUCUCGCCAUGAAAUCUGAAUGCACACACUAGUCUGCUUUAGCACUAACGUGAAAGAAUUCUGCUUACAAGACAGUUGUGCUGACACAUCUAUUUUGGAAAUCCCCAAGGGGAAGAAGGUACUUUUCUUAUGGAAUACUAGUGCCAUCUAGUGGCAGCUUGUUUCACGGUUCACGCACGGAUUCUGCAUUCUAUUCUAGGUUUGGUUUUUAUUUUAUCUCCCACAGACCCUUUCCUCCAAGAGCAGAGAAAGAAUCUAGCACAGGAGUGGCAUCAUCUCCAGGUAAAGGUUAAGGUUAAGUUCUGAAGCAGACAGUCUGGAGCUAUAAGGUCCCUGUGCUGCAUCUCUUCACUGUGGGCACUGUUAAGUAAGGUGACUGAAGCAGCAGAAGGAAGCUGAGAACCACCCAACAUUUUCACAGUAACCAUCCCCUUACUGGGCCACUGUCCUUUCAAAACUGCAUCAAAGUCCAGACUCUAAGCUCCUUCUUCAACCAUAGUCUCUUCAGACUGGGUGAUCUAGUCACUUUGCAAACUGUGUGCUGAGAACCCUGCUGGCAAACACACACAGUCUCCAUACUUUAUCCUGAAAUCCCUACAUGUUCAAAGCAACCUCAGCUUUUUCCCCCUGCUGAAAUCCUCCGAGGUUCCCUCCCAUUAAAUCGCUGACGCAGUGGGUCAAAGCGGAAGGCUCACUUGCACCUUGUCCUACUCGCAUUCACUCUAACUAUAUAGCCAUCACCCGGGAUCCCUCUAAGCCUGUUCCUCUAGAUUCAACUGUUGCUGAGACAAGCCUGAAGCUUAGCAGCACCAGAGCUGUUUUCAAUCAUGGCGUAUGUCCAUCUUAGCAGGGGAACACAAAGUGAACUAAAUGCCCUGUCCUUUGCAAAAACUGUGAGAUCACAAGACGUGAAGUCCGUUUGCUAGCUAUAAGCAAAAUGUUGUAUAAGCAAGUAUCAAGAACUCUGAAUCUGGCCUGAUUCAAAUUACUCACUGCACAGUAAUUCCCAUUUCCCCUAUGCCUAGACCCAGUCAUAACUGCUCAGAUUCCUGCUACCUGUGUGUGGUUACUGCACAUGAGUGGAAGGAACCACAGCCUCUGUCCUCUUGGGACUUGCUAACUUCACUUAAAGCACAUCCUAGUUGUUUCACAGCACAGGAUUUCUAUCUCAAGGUGUGUAUACACACACACACACACACACACACACACACACACACACACACAGUUUUUAUCCGCUCCUCUGUAAAUGUCAUUCAGUGGUUUCUCCCUCACAGCCACGGUGGGCAGUGCUGCAAUGAGCAGGUGGUCCAUGAGGCACUGAAGAGUUCCUGUCCACAGGCUGUCUUUCUACUUUGUUCCCUUUGAGGUGUAGAAGUCUAGUUUGAUGUCAUCCAUCUGCCUAUUUUUACUUUUACUGCUUUCUUUUUGGUGUUAUAUACAGGAAAUCGGUGCCAAUGCCAAGAGUAGGUUUCUCCUGCUUUGUUCUCAGAGCUUUAUGGUUUCAGGACAUAAAUUUAAAUCUCACGUCCCACCCAGAGACUGUGCUGGUGCACUCCUUUAAUCCCAGGACUUGAAGACAGAGGCAAGUAGGACUUGCCUGGUCUACAGAGUUCCAGGACACACACCAACCAACCAACCAACCAAACAAACAAACAAAAAACCCAACCCGGAAGAACUGCCAGAUGGUGGUGGCACACCCCUUUAAUCCCAACACUCAGAAGUGAGAGGAAGGCAGAUCUCUGUGAAUUCAAGGUCAGCCUGGUCAGAGCCAAUGUCAAGACAGCUAGGGUCAUACAAAGAAAUCCUGUUUUGAAAAACAAAAACAAAAAAGUCUGCAGUCUAGUACAAGUAAGAUGGCUCAGUGGAAGAAGGCACUCAGGCACAGGCCCAACAGCCCGAGAGGUUUUUUACUUUUAUUUUACAUGUAGUGUUUUACCUGCAUGUAUGUAACUGUAGUUUUGUAAUAUGCUUUGAAAUAGUAAAAUCUGAGAUCUCCAGCUUUGCUGUUUCUCAAGAUAGCAUAUGGAGGCUCAGGGUUCCAUCAACAGCACUAAAAACCCAACCAAAUCAAGACAAAACCCGAAUCAAUUGUGAACAGGUAACUUCCCCCUUCCUGGUAUGAAUAUCUUUUUCUUUAGGCUUCUGAUGCUGAACAGAUGUGAACAGAGCUGAUGCUACUCUACUUCUGCUUUUUGCUAUGCCCCAAGGGUUGACAUUGUUACAGCCGUAGGUUACUGGAGGCAGGAGUUCAUAUCACAGCAUGUGUGCUUGUGUGUCUGACACCACAGAAAGGGACUGACUGUGCGACUCUUGUCUCUUCUUGAUCCUUAGCUAUAGCUUUUGUUCACAAGCUUCUGUUACGACAGUCUGCCUUUAACAAGGCCAAACGCACAACAGAAACAUGUAAGUAAUUAACCUCCAAAGCAGGCAAAAUAUUCCCUUUCUCUCGGUAAGCUGGUUAUCCCACGCAUUUGUAACUAACACAGCUUAGCUCGUUCUUGAUCUCAGCAGAGAAACCUUUCAUAUACCCCAACUGUCCUGUGUUCUUGCUGCUGCUGAUUUUUAGCUUCACUCCACUGUGGUCAGAAAAGGUACCUGGUAUGAUGACAACCUUAAGUCUUAGAACCUGCACUGUGACCUAUCAUUCUAUCCUGGAGAAGGCUUCAUGCAUGCUUGUAAAUGGGUCUUCUGCUUUCUGACAGGCAGAAUGUUCUGUAGGUAUCUGUUAGAUCACCCAGUCUGUCCUCUGUUGGGCUGCUCUAUUAGUCAUAGAUCUUCAACUGUUUGUAUACGGCAAUCUAUAACUUCCUUCAGUUUUAUUAAUAUCUGCUUUACAUGUUUGGGCAUUGACAUUGGGUGCAUAUAGUCAGUCACCUCUUGUUACCUAUGGACUGGAUCAAGACCCCCUGUGCGAACUGAAUGGGAAAUGUUGUCCCACUGCCUUGGCAAUUGAACACUUGGCCUCAGCAGUGGCGCUUGGGGGCAGUUUGGGAGGAGCAGCCCUGCUGGAGAAAGCAUAGCUCUGGAGUGGCUUUGAGAUCAUAAACUCUUAUCCUACACCAUAGUUUGCACUGUUUCCUGUUUACCGUUGAAGAUGUGAUCUGUCAAAUUUCCUGCCUCUGCCACGAUACAUCCUUGCCAUAAAGGAAUUUUUCCCUCUGAAACCAUAAGCCCCAAAACACUUUUCCUUCAAUAGCAUGUCAUGGUCAUGGUGUGUUAUCAUAGUAACGGGAAAGUAACUAAUGGCCCCUCCAGAUAUCCAAAUUUACUGACAGCCUGGUCCCUUACAUGAAAUUGCAACAGCAUUUGUACAUAACCUAUGCACAUUCUCCCAUACUUGAAACAAUUUCUUACAUGCAAUUGUUAGACAGUGCAGAUCUGUGAGGACAGAUAAAGGGUCUUCAGAUGUUUAAUGCAGGAGCCAUUUUCCCCUCAGGUAUUUUUAUCUUCGGUUGGCUGAAUCCAUGGAUAUGAAGGCUCAUCACGAUUUAGAAAUGGUUAUAAUUGGUUUGCUGACCUUUUUAAAUUAUGCUAUAAUUCCCUUGCUUAUCAACUGAUAGCUUUUUCUUUAAGUAUAUUUUGUAGAAGUGUGGCCAACCUGCUCUCUUUUGGUUAUCAUUUCUACUUAAUGUCAUUCCUUUCAGCUGUAGCUUGCACAAGCCCAGCACAGGCUUUGAAGAAGCACAACCAGAACCUGAUUUAAAAUCCUUCCAGUCACUCUACUCGCCUUUUGUUUAGGGCCUCCUUCGAUGCUGCGUUACAGCAAUGGAAGGAGGAGCUUACCUUUGUGUGUGGUUUUUAUUAUUUUUGGUUCAUCUGUUUCCUUUUUUCCUUUAUGCUUAGAUUUUUUUUUUAAAUACUGAUAUUCCCUUUUUUUGGUUUUUCUUUUGCAUAUUCUCUAUGAGUCUUCUCAGACCAUAGAAUGUACAUAAAAUAUCUUGUAUUUAUAAUAUCUUUAAAGCCAAUAAUAACAAUAUUCAUUUUACUUUCUUACAUCCACCCUUUUUUUUUAAAAAAAGAUUUAUUUAUUUAUGUAUUCGAGUACACUGUAGCUGUCUUCAGACACACCAGAAGAGGGUUAUCAGACCCCAUUACAGAUGGUUGUGAGCCACCAUGUGGUUGCUGGGAAUUGAACUCAGGACCUCUGGAAGAGCUAUCAGUGCUCUUAACCGCUGAGCCAUCUCUCCAGCCCCUACAUCCACCCUUAAUAUGACUUACAUCACAAAUCGCAUGUUUUUGUUGUUGUGAAUCCAUUAGUACUUUUGAAGAGUUUUUGGAUUUUUGUCUUUCAAAUUCUAUAUCGACUGAUUUAUGUAUAACUACCUUAUUACGGAAUUCUGAAUGACCAUACAGAUUUUCUCUAACUUACAAUGAACUUUAGAUUGGUACACCUAACCAAUCUAACAGCGAAGCUGAGUGGCACAGUUCACUGCAGAGUGGAAUGCCGUUGUCUGCUUGUGGAGUAACUCAGGACUGAGUGAUAACUGUAGCCUGCUGCUGCUGCCCAGCCACCAUACUUAUAAGAGGAGUAUUAUCAUAUAUCAUUGGUCUCACAAAGGAUCAAGAUUUAAAGUAGUCUCUUCAGCCGUCAAGAUGGCUCUGUGCGUGAGGUGCUUACUUCUAAGCCUGAUGAUAUGAGUUUGACCCCUAAAUUCCAUAUGGUACAGAAAAAACACAUUCUCACAAGCUGCCUGCCCUCUAACCUCACCAUGUGCUUAAAUAAGCGCACACACAGACAAAUGAAAUUUAUUUUAAUAAUUAAAAUUUAAAAUAAAAAAAUAUGGUUUCUUUUUUUUUUUAUGGUUCUUUUUUUCGAAGCUGGGGACCGAACCCAGGGCCUUGCGCUUCCUAGGUAAGCGCUCUACCACUGAGCUAAAUCCCCAGCCCCAAAAAUAUGGUUUCUUAAAGUUGAAAAACCUUAAAUCAGGAACUAUGUGUAUAUUUACUUAACUCGGGAACUAUUAUAUUUAUCUAUAUAUUAUACAACUAUUAUAUUAUCUAUAGAUUUAUUUACUUGCUAAUGAACUUCGUAGUUUUACAUGAAUUUGUGUUUCUACUUAGUUUUCGAUCCUAAUACUGGGAUUACAGGAACGUAUCUGGUUUCUCCUCGCGCUGCCUUUUGAGCAUGUGUGUGCAUGGUCAUGGAUGUGUGUAUGUAUACAGCUUUAUGUCGGGUUGUUUCUCAGGAGCCACUCACCAUGGUUUUUAAGAAAGAGUGUCUGGCUAGGACUUGGGGCAGAGUCAGAUUCUGCCUCUCAAGUGCUGAGAUUAUGGUGAACGUGUGCACCAUACCUGAAACUGAGUGCAGGACCUCAUAUCUGUGAAGUACUUAACCCACCCUGUUCUCUUUCCACACCCUGACUGCUUCUCUCUUCUUCCUUCUCCAUUUUUUUGUUUUUGCUUUUGUUUUAAAAAGACAGUGUCUCACUAUGUGCCUUAGGCAGCCUGAAACUUGCUAUGUAGAACAGACCGGCCUCCAACUCACACUGAUCCUCUACCUCUGCCUCCCAAAUGUGCGUGCCACUAUGUCAGGCCUUCUUAACUUAUUUUUUUUAAUUAUUUAUUUUAUGUCUGUGAGCACACUGUAGCUGUCUUCAGACACACCAGAAGAAGCAUCAGAUCCCAUUACAGAUGGUUGUGAGCCACCAUGUGGUUGCUGGGAAUUGAACUCAGGACCUCUGGAAGAGCAGUCAGUGCUCUUAACCACUGAGCCAUCUCUCCAGCCCUCUUCUUAACUUUUGAAGAAUAAUUUUAUCAAAUACAAUUCUCUUGGUUUGGCUAGAGGUUACUUUUUUCCAACACUUUAACCUUCUUCGUUUACAAGGUUUCUGCUGAAGAAUCCACUGAUUUUUAUGGAUGUAUUACAUUGCAAGAAAGAAAAGAAAAGAAAGGAAGGAAGGGAGGGAAGGAAUGGAAGAGAAGGGAAGGAAGGGGAGGGGAGGGGAGAAGAGAAGAGAUGGGGUCCUACAGUGUAGCCCUGGCUGAAGUGGGACUUGCUAUAUAGAUGAGCCUGGCCUUGAACUCACAGAGAUGUUAUCUGCUUGCUUCUGCCUCUUGAAUGUUGGGAUCAAAGGUAUGAACAUUGGUCUCCUCUUGUUCUCUCUCUCUUCCUCCCUUGCCAUCUCUGAAACUGAACCCAGGUGGUCUUCUGGAAGGGCAGCCAGUGCUCUCACCUGAGGAGGCAUUUCCUCACUCGGAAUACAAUGCAUAACUCCAUUUAGUUAUGGUUUUCUGUGUCUUAGCUCAGGUGUCACCUGCUCAAGUGUACCAGUGCCUCACACACCCAGACACCCACAGGGACAUUUUACUAUGCUUUUCCAUUCCAAGAAGACAGAACUGUUAGGCCAAUAGGUACAGCAAGAACCUGAAUGGGGACAACUUACAAAAUUGCUACAUCAUCUCUCAGAAUGCAUACAGGUUUCACAGGGGAAUAUUAGUAUUAAUAAUGCUGUAAAGCGGGGUUGGGGAUUUA
Non-coding RNA from Rattus norvegicus (Norway rat), 17415 nucleotides. The record is from RefSeq and is a predicted model, not a curated record. Lineage: Eukaryota; Metazoa; Chordata; Mammalia; Rodentia; Muridae.